Molecule: unclassified non-coding RNA, 257 nt
Filed under: uncultured fungus
Lineage: Eukaryota; Fungi
Description: sequence contains ITS2
Rfam family: 5.8S ribosomal RNA (bases 1-52)
Source: RNAcentral
AACGCACAUUGCGCCCGCCAGUAUUCUGGCGGGCAUGCCUGUUCGAGCGUCAUUUCAACCCUCAAGCUCCGGCUUGGUGUUGGGGAUCGGCAGCCCGGCUUCGCGCCGUCGCCGUCCCCCAAAUGCAGUGGCGGUCACGCUGUAGCUUCCUAUGCGUAGUAGCACACCUCGCACUGGAAAGCAGCGCGGCCACGCCGUAAAACCCCCAACUUUUUGUGGUUGACCUCGAAUCAGGUAGGACUACCCGCUGAACUUAA